AAUAACUUGAAUGGAAAAAAAAAACAAAAUAAAACUAAUAGAUAUGUGGACUGCUGUGGAUGAAAUGGAAGAAGACAACAUCAAUUCUGUAACAUCCUUUGUCUUGGACUGGCCCAAAGUGAACUACCUGGUCACUUUAAGUUCUCCAGAGCAAAAGGACAAAUGGUUCUCUUUCCUUCAGAGAAACAGGGUCUAAUUAACUUGCUGGAGUUCUUUAUUAUUGAGACUGGACUCAAAGUUUUGGACCCACCUUAGCCUCCUGAGUCACUAGGAUUAAAGGCAUGUGUUACCACAUCUGACAGAAAGAACUCAGGUACAGCAAGUGAAGUUGUCAACAUGUAAUUACCAGUGCUAAGGAUAAAUGGCUCUGAGAAAGAUUGUCAGUUGUGAAUUGAUUCUGGAAAAGAAGUGGCACCAUACUCACUCAUUG
Sciurus carolinensis (gray squirrel) is the source of this 430-nucleotide long non-coding RNA. RefSeq lists it as uncharacterized. The transcript has 5 exons. The record is from RefSeq and is a predicted model, not a curated record. Lineage: Eukaryota; Metazoa; Chordata; Mammalia; Rodentia; Sciuridae.